GUUUUAAGUGUCUUGGUGUUCUGAAACACCACAGAGACCAUGGAUAAGAGACAUCUUCAUGUGAAAUAACAAUGAAAAGACAGAAAGUGACAUCACCAAGGUCCUGGGCAUAAUGAACUUGGCCAUAGAGUUGAAAUUCCACUUCACUAUCAACACUCAGUUCACUGGAUGAUUCAUCUCGGUAAAGGUCGUCUUCAUAUGCUUCUAUAUCCUCAUACCCACCAAACAUUAUGGAAAAGCAGUGA
This is a long non-coding RNA of Monodelphis domestica (gray short-tailed opossum), 245 nucleotides long. RefSeq lists it as uncharacterized. NCBI's taxonomy places the organism in Eukaryota, Metazoa, Chordata, Mammalia, Didelphimorphia, Didelphidae. The record is from RefSeq and is a predicted model, not a curated record.